This 500-nucleotide ribosomal RNA is filed under the name uncultured bacterium. Its description in RNAcentral is "partial 16S ribosomal RNA". It matches the Rfam family "Bacterial small subunit ribosomal RNA", at positions 30 to 523 of the family's 1533-position model. The record is from RNAcentral.
AUUGAACGCUGGCGGCAUGCCUUACACAUGCAAGUCGAACGGCAGCACGGGAGCAAUCCUGGUGGCGAGUGGCGAACGGGUGAGUAAAGUAUCGGGACGUGCCCAGUCGUGGGGGAUAACGUAGCGAAAGUUACGCCAAUAUCGCAUACGAUCUAUGGAUGAAAGCGGGGGAUCGCAAGACCUUGCGCGAUUGGAGCGGCCGAUAUCAGAUUAGGUAGUUGGUGGGGUAAAGGCCCACCAAGCCGACGAUCUGUAGCUGGUCUGAGAGGACGACCAGCCACACUGGGACUGAGACACGGCCCAGACUCCUACGGGAGGCAGCAGUGGGGAAUUUUGGACAAUGGGCGAAAGCCUGAUCCAGCCAUGCCGCGUGCAGGAUGAAGGCCUUCGGGUUGUAAACUGCUUUUGUACGGAACGAAAAGGACUGCCCUAAUACGGUGGUCCCAUGACGGUACCGUAAGAAUAAGCACCGGCUAACUACGUGCCAGCCGCCGCCGUAA